RNAcentral lists this ribosomal RNA (497 nucleotides) under uncultured bacterium. RNAcentral describes it as "partial 16S ribosomal RNA". It matches the Rfam family "Bacterial small subunit ribosomal RNA", at positions 28 to 507 of the family's 1533-position model. The record is from RNAcentral.
GAUGAACGCUGGCGGCGUGCUUAACACAUGCAAGUCGAGCGAACAGACGCGGUGCUUGUUCCUCUGACUUUAGCGGCGGCCGGGUGAGUAACACGUGGAUAACCUCCUUAUACCAUCUGGUUAACUUCGGCAAACCGGAGUUAAUACCGGAUAAUAUUCUGAAUCUCUUGGUUCAUGAGUGUAAGACGGUUUUUGUUUCACUUGUAGAUGGAUCCGCGCCGUAUUAGCUAGUUGGUAAGGUGACGGCUUACCAAGGCGACGAUGCGUAGCCGACCUGAGAGGGGGGUCGGCGGCAAUAGAGCUGAGACAAGGUCCAGAAUCCUACGAGAGGCAGCAGUAGGGAAUCUUCCGCAAUGGGCGAAGGCCUGACGGAGCAACGCCGCGUGAGGGAUGAAGGUCUUCGGAGCGUAGAGCACUGUUAUUAGGAGAGAAGAAAUGUGUAAGUGACUGUGCGCGUCUUGACGGUACCUAGACAGAAAGCCACGGCUAACUACGUG